This 493-nucleotide ribosomal RNA is filed under the name uncultured bacterium. RNAcentral describes it as "bacterial SSU rRNA". It matches the Rfam family "Bacterial small subunit ribosomal RNA", at positions 28 to 528 of the family's 1533-position model. The record is from RNAcentral.
GAUGAACGCUGGCGGCGUGCUUAACACAUGCAAGUCGAACGAAGCAGAUGAGAAAGCUUGCUUUUUAUUUCGCUUAGUGGCGGACGGGUGAGUAACGCGUGAGUAACCUGCCCUUCAGUGGGGAAUAACAUCGAGAAAUCGGUGCUAAUACCGCAUAACGUAUUUAUGUCGCAUGACAUUUAUACCAAAGGAUUUAUUCGCUGAAGGAUGGACUCGCGUCCGAUUAGAUAGUUGGUGAGAUAAUGGCCCACCAAGUCAACGAUCGGUAGCCGAACUGAGAGGUUGAUCGGCCACAUUGGGACUGAGACACGGCCCAGACUCCUACGGGAGGCAGCAGUGGGGAAUAUUGGGCAAUGGGCGAAAGCCUGACCCAGCAACGCCGCGUGAAGGAUGAAGGUCUUCGGAUUGUAAACUUCUUUGAUUAGGGAAGAAUUUUGACCUACCUAAAGAACAAGUCACGGCUAACUACGUGCCAGCAGCCGCGGUAAUACGU